RNAcentral lists this ribosomal RNA (492 nucleotides) under uncultured bacterium. RNAcentral describes it as "partial 16S ribosomal RNA". It matches the Rfam family "Bacterial small subunit ribosomal RNA", at positions 29 to 507 of the family's 1533-position model. The record is from RNAcentral.
AGUGAACGCUGGCGGUAGGCCUAACACAUGCAAGUCGAACGGCAGCACAGUAAGAGCUUGCUCUUACGGGUGGCGAGUGGCGGACGGGUGAGGAAUACAUCGGAAUCUACUUUUUCGUGGGGGAUAACGUAGGGAAACUUACGCUAAUACCGCAUACGACCUACGGGUGAAAGCAGGGGAUCUUCGUACCUUGCGCGAUUGAAUGAGCCGAUGUCGGAUUAGCUAGUUGGCGGGGUAAAGGCCCACCAAGGCGACGAUCCGUAGCUGGUCUGAGAGGAUGAUCAGCCACACUGGAACCGAGACACGGUCCAGACUCCUACGGGAGGCAGCAGUGGGGAAUAUUGGACAAUGGGCGCAAGCCUGAUCCAGCCAUACCGCGUGGGUGAAGAAGGCCUUCGGGUUGUAAAGCCCUUUUGUUGGGAAAGAAAAGCAGCAGGUUAAUACCCCGCUGUUCUGACGGUACCCAAAGAAUAAGCACCGGCUAACUUCGUG